AAAAGUUAGUAGUAACUUAGGUGGUCGGACGGGUGACGGUAACGACGUGGGUAACCGUGCCUUACUACAGGGGGAUAACGAACUUAGAAAUAGUGCUAAUACCGCAUAAGCGCACAGUCCCGCAUGGGACAGAGUGAAAACAUUAGUGGUGUAAGAUGGACCCGCGUCUGAUUAGCUUGUUGGCGGGGUAACGGCCCGACCAAGGCGACGAUCAGUAGCCGGCCUGAGAGGGUGGACGGCCACAUUGGGACUGAGACACGGCCCAAACUCCUGCGGGAGGCAGCAGUGGGGGAUAUUGGACAAUGGGGGAAACCCUGAUCCAGCGACGCCGCGUGAGUGAAGAAGUAUUUCGGUAUGUAAAGCUCUAUCAGCAGGGAAGAAAGAAAUGACGGUACCUGAGUAAGAAGCCCCGGCUAACUACGUG
RNAcentral lists this ribosomal RNA (424 nucleotides) under uncultured Lachnospiraceae bacterium. RNAcentral describes it as "bacterial SSU rRNA". It matches the Rfam family "Bacterial small subunit ribosomal RNA", at positions 69 to 507 of the family's 1533-position model. The record is from RNAcentral. Lineage: Bacteria; Bacillati; Bacillota; Clostridia; Lachnospirales; Lachnospiraceae.